AAGACAAGAGACAGUCAACCAGCCAAGGAUGUCUGCCAAUAAACCAAUCAAAGGGCUCCAUAGAGACAAAGUCCUAGGAAUGGCAAUAGCUAGGCAAGCCAUCCUUGGCUACCCGACAUGACUCUUCAUCU
Non-coding RNA from Cajanus cajan (pigeon pea), 131 nucleotides. The record is from Rfam. Lineage: Eukaryota; Viridiplantae; Streptophyta; Magnoliopsida; Fabales; Fabaceae.